Salmo salar (Atlantic salmon) is the source of this 54-nucleotide non-coding RNA. The record is from Rfam. Lineage: Eukaryota; Metazoa; Chordata; Actinopteri; Salmoniformes; Salmonidae.
UAUAUUUUUUUUUGUAAGUCGCUCUGGAUAAGAGCGUCUGCCAAAUGACUUAAA